GCCUGGCUGGCUCAGUCAGUAGAGCAUGUGAUUCUCAAUCUCAGGGUCAUGAGUUCAAGCCCCACAUUGGGCC
Molecule: transfer RNA, 73 nt
Filed under: Ailuropoda melanoleuca (giant panda)
Lineage: Eukaryota; Metazoa; Chordata; Mammalia; Carnivora; Ursidae
Rfam family: tRNA
About the family: Transfer RNA (tRNA) molecules are approximately 80 nucleotides in length. Their secondary structure includes four short double-helical elements and three loops (D, anti-codon, and T loops). Further hydrogen bonds mediate the characteristic L-shaped molecular structure. tRNAs have two regions of fundamental functional importance: the anti-codon, which is responsible for specific mRNA codon recognition, and the 3' end, to which the tRNAs corresponding amino acid is attached (by aminoacyl-tRNA synthetases). tRNAs cope with the degeneracy of the genetic code in two manners: having more than one tRNA (with a specific anti-codon) for a particular amino acid; and 'wobble' base-pairing, i.e. permitting non-standard base-pairing at the 3rd anti-codon position.
Source: Rfam by way of RNAcentral